AAGAGCUUGCUCUUAUGAAGUUAGCGGCGGACGGGUGAGUAACACGUGGGUAACCUGCCCAUAAGACUGGGAUAACUCCGGGAAACCGGGGCUAAUACCGGAUAACAUUUUGAACCGCAUGGUUCGAAAUUGAAAGGCGGCUUCGGCUGUCACUUAUGGAUGGACCCGCGUCGCAUUAGCUAGUUGGUGAGGUAACGGCUCACCAAGGCAACGAUGCGUAGCCGACCUGAGAGGGUGAUCGGCCACACUGGGACUGAGACACGGCCCAGACUCCUACGGGAGGCAGCAGUAGGGAAUCUUCCGCAAUGGACGAAAGUCUGACGGAGCAACGCCGCGUGAGUGAUGAAGGCUUUCGGGUCGUAAAACUCUGUUGUUAGGGAAGAACAAGUGCUAGUUGAAUAAGCUGGCACCUUGACGGUACCUAACCAGAAAGCCACGGCUAACUACGUGCCAGCAGCCGCGGUAAUACGUAGGUGGCAAGCGUUAUCCGGAAUUAUUGGGCGUAAAGCGCGCGCAGGUGGUUUCUUAAGUCUGAUGUGAAAGCCCACGGCUCAACCGUGGAGGGUCAUUGGAAACUGGGAGACUUGAGUGCAGAAGAGGAAAGUGGAAUUCCAUGUGUAGCGGUGAAAUGCGUAGAGAUAUGGAGGAACACCAGUGGCGAA
Molecule: ribosomal RNA, 662 nt
Filed under: Bacillus tropicus
Lineage: Bacteria; Bacillati; Bacillota; Bacilli; Caryophanales; Bacillaceae
Description: bacterial SSU rRNA
Rfam family: Bacterial small subunit ribosomal RNA
Source: RNAcentral